CACCCCUCAAGCGCGGCUUGGUGUUGGGCGUGGCCCGCGUGGCCGGCCCCAAAGACAGUGGCGGCGCUGCCUGGCCCUGAGCGUAGUAUCGUCUUUCGCUCCAGGGCCCGGCGGGCGGCCUGCCAGAACCCCAACUCAGU
Molecule: unclassified non-coding RNA, 140 nt
Filed under: uncultured Leotiomycetes
Lineage: Eukaryota; Fungi; Ascomycota; Leotiomycetes
Description: sequence contains ITS2
Source: RNAcentral